AAGGCACUGAAAAUGCCUAGAUGAGUAUAUUAACUCCAUGAACA
This 44-nucleotide transfer RNA is filed under the name Rusa unicolor (Sambar). Its description in RNAcentral is "partial tRNA-Phe". Lineage: Eukaryota; Metazoa; Chordata; Mammalia; Artiodactyla; Cervidae. The record is from RNAcentral.